RNAcentral lists this ribosomal RNA (247 nucleotides) under uncultured bacterium. Its description in RNAcentral is "partial 16S ribosomal RNA". It matches the Rfam family "Bacterial small subunit ribosomal RNA", at positions 554 to 793 of the family's 1533-position model. The record is from RNAcentral.
CUGGGCGUAAAGACGCAUGCAGGUGGUUUGGUUUAAGUUACAGAUGUGAAGACCCGGGGCCGCAACCUCGGAAUAGCAUUUGAAACUGGCAGACUAGAGUACUGUAGAGGGGGGUAGGAAUUUCAGGUGUAGCGGUGAAAUGCGUAGAGAUCUGAAGGAAUACCGGUGGCGAAGGCGGCCCCCUGGACAGAUACUGACACUCAGAUGCGAAAGCGUGGGGAGCAAACAGGAUUAGAUACCCUGGUAG